Molecule: long non-coding RNA, 557 nt
Organism: Limulus polyphemus (Atlantic horseshoe crab)
Lineage: Eukaryota; Metazoa; Arthropoda; Merostomata; Xiphosura; Limulidae
Exons: 2
Source: RefSeq, a predicted model, not a curated record
AAGCUACUCGAGAGCUAUUAUGAGAAACUACAAGAAAAGCAGCUAGUGAACACCAUCCACCGCCAAUUCUUAUAUCAACGAAAAGUGGAAUUAAUCGAUAAAUUAUAACGCCUUCACAGCUAAAGGACGAGCGUGCUCGGUGACUGGGUUCGAGCUCACGACACAUAGAUUAGGAGUCGACUGCCCUAACCACAAGGACAACGAAAGUAGUCACUUUUAAACGCUGUACAAUUAAGGAUCGUGUGACUAGUUCACUCUACGUCGUACAGGUUUUAUGUGCAAACCGACUUCCCCAGUUCAGUAAAAACAGCGAGGAAUAAAUUUGAGAGAUGACAUUUUGUAAAGAACCGCAUCUUGAACGGAACCAAUGCGAUUAUUACAAUCGAUGGCUACACAAAGACUGAAGAUUGUGCCGGGAUUUUGAAUCCUUACUCAAAGAAGUACACGAGCAUUUUAAUUAUGUGGCUAUAAAAAUUGUGCAUACAUUAUAAGAUCUUCAAAGAAUUGUAGUCAUGUUUCAAAAAUAAAUAAAAAAAUCAUUUCGUUUCUCUUCAGAA